RNAcentral lists this ribosomal RNA (207 nucleotides) under uncultured bacterium. RNAcentral's name for it is "partial 16S ribosomal RNA". It matches the Rfam family "Bacterial small subunit ribosomal RNA", at positions 568 to 774 of the family's 1533-position model. The record is from RNAcentral.
CGCGCAGGCGGGCCGGUAAGUUGGAAGUGAAAUCUAUGGGCUUAACCCAUAAACUGCUUUCAAAACUGCUGGUCUUGAGUGAUGGAGAGGCAGGCGGAAUUCCGUGUGUAGCGGUGAAAUGCGUAGAUAUACGGAGGAACACCAGUGGCGAAGGCGGCCUGCUGGACAUUAACUGACGCUGAGGCGCGAAAGCGUGGGGAGCAAACA